RNAcentral lists this ribosomal RNA (503 nucleotides) under Artemia tibetiana. Its description in RNAcentral is "partial 16S ribosomal RNA". Lineage: Eukaryota; Metazoa; Arthropoda; Branchiopoda; Anostraca; Artemiidae. The record is from RNAcentral.
CUCAAACUCUGGUUUAUAUCACUAUUUAAAAUAAUAUUAUAUAAGUAAAAGAAUUGAAUUUUAUCCACAAAAAAGUACUGAGAAGGAAAGUUUCGUUAAUUUUAAAGAAGUUAUUUAUUAUACCUUUUGUAUCAGGGUUUAUCUAAUUUUGACCAGUAUUGUCAAAUCCCGAAAUAAGGUGAUCUAUGUUAAUUAAAGAUGACUGUUUCAUAAUUCUCUUCAAGAUUAAUGUCGGUGUAAAAAAUAUUUCGUACCUUUAUAUCUGGUUGGCAUAAGACUCCUUUAGGGUACUCCACAAGGAAGAUUUUCUAGGGGACGAGCUCUAGAAAAAAUUACAUCAAACCACCCUCAGUGAUAUGAAUAGGCUUAAAAGUUGCCAGGGUGUAAUAACCAGGCUCACUUAGAUAAUAAUUUAAAGUUGAUUAAUUCAACCUAGCCAGUGCUGGUUAUUAAUAUCCAGCAGUUAUAAUGAUAAAAUUAGUAUAAGUAUAAAAAUAUAAUAG